RNAcentral lists this ribosomal RNA (264 nucleotides) under uncultured archaeon. RNAcentral's name for it is "partial 16S ribosomal RNA". It matches the Rfam family "Archaeal small subunit ribosomal RNA", at positions 718 to 982 of the family's 1478-position model. The record is from RNAcentral.
AGUCACUGACAUUAGAUACCCCUGUAGUCCAGGGUGUAAACGCUGCAGACUUGGUGUUGGAGGCCCUUUGGGGGCAUUCAGUGCCGGAGAGAAGUUGUUAAGUCUGCUACUUGGGAGUACGUCCGCAAGGAUGAAACUUAAAGGAAUUGGCGGGGGAGCACCGCAGCGGGAGGAGCGUGCGGUUUAAUUGGAUUCAACACCGUAAAACUCACCAGGGAAGACUGUUACAUGAAGGCCGAGAUGAAGACUCUGCUAGAUUUUCAG